UACAGGGGGGGCAAGCGUUGUUCGGAAUUACUGGGCGUAAAGGGCACGUAGGUGGCCAACUAAGUCAGACGUGAAAUCCCUCAGCUUAACUGGGGAACUGCGUCUGAUACUGGAUAGCUUGAGUUUGGGAGAGGGAUGCGGAAUUCCAGGUGUAGCGGUGAAAUGCGUAGAUAUCUGGAGGAACACCGGUGGCGAAGGCGGCAACCUGGACCAACACUGACACUGAGGAGCGAAAGCCAGGGGAGCAAACGGG
RNAcentral lists this ribosomal RNA (253 nucleotides) under uncultured bacterium. RNAcentral describes it as "partial 16S ribosomal RNA". It matches the Rfam family "Bacterial small subunit ribosomal RNA", at positions 524 to 776 of the family's 1533-position model. The record is from RNAcentral.